This 253-nucleotide ribosomal RNA is filed under the name uncultured bacterium. RNAcentral's name for it is "partial 16S ribosomal RNA". It matches the Rfam family "Bacterial small subunit ribosomal RNA", at positions 524 to 776 of the family's 1533-position model. The record is from RNAcentral.
UACGAAGGACCCGAGCGUUAUCCGGAUUUAUUGGGUUUAAAGGGUGCGUAGGCGGCAGAUUAAGUCAGCGGUGAAAUUCCACAGCUCAACUGUGGAACUGCCAUUGAUACUGGUUUGCUUGAGUACAGAUGAGGUAGGCGGAAUUGACAGUGUAGCGGUGAAAUGCUUAGAUAUUGUCAAGAACACCUAUUGCGAAGGCAGCUUACUAAGCUGUAACUGACGCUGAGGCACGAAAGCGUGGGGAUCAAACAGG